CGGGACACGUGGUAUCCUGUCUGAAUAUGGGGGGACCAUCCUCCAAGGCUAAAUACUCCUGACUGACCGAUAGUGAACCAGUACCGUGAGGGAAAGGCGAAAAGAACCCCGGCGAGGGGAGUGAAAAAGAACCUGAAACCGUGUACGUACAAGCAGUGGGAGCACGCUUAGGCGUGUGACUGCGUACCUUUUGUAUAAUGGGUCAGCGACUUAUAUUCUGUAGCAAGGUUAACCGAAUAGGGGAGCCGAAGGGAAACCGAGUCUUAACUGGGCGUUAAGUUGCAGGGUAUAGACCCGAAACCCGGUGAUCUAGCCAUGGGCAGGUUGAAGGUUGGGUAACACUAACUGGAGGACCGAACCGACUAAUGUUGAAAAAUUAGCGGAUGACUUGUGGCUGGGGGUGAAAGGCCAAUCAAACCGGGAGAUAGCUGGUUCUCCCCGAAAGCUAUUUAGGUAGCGCCUCGUGAAUUCAUCUCCGGGGGUAGAGCACUGUUUCGGCAAGGGGGUCAUCCCGACUUACCAACCCGAUGCAAACUGCGAAUACCGGAGAAUGUUAUCACGGGAGACACACGGCGGGUGCUAACGUCCGUCGUGAAGAGGGAAACAACCCAGACCGCCAGCUAAGGUCCCAAAGUCAUGGUUAAGUGGGAAACGAUGUGGGAAGGCCCAGACAGCCAGGAUGUUGGCUUAGAAGCAGCCAUCAUUUAAAGAAAGCGUAAUAGCUCACUGGUCGAGUCGGCCUGCGCGGAAGAUGUAACGGGGCUAAACCAUGCACCGAAGCUGCGGCAGCGACGCUGAUGCGUUGUUGGGUAGGGGAGCGUUCUGUAAGCCUGUGAAGGUGUGCUGUGAGGCAUGCUGGAGGUAUCAGAAGUGCGAAUGCUGACAUAAGUAACGAUAAAGCGGGUGAAAAGCCCGCUCGCCGGAAGACCAAGGGUUCCUGUCCAACGUUAAUCGGGGCAGGGUGAGUCGACCCCUAAGGCGAGGCCGAAAGGCGUAGUCGAUGGGAAACAGGUUAAUAUUCCUGUACUUGGUGUUACUGCGAAG
This 1044-nucleotide ribosomal RNA is filed under the name Escherichia coli. RNAcentral's name for it is "partial 23S ribosomal RNA". It matches the Rfam family "Bacterial large subunit ribosomal RNA", at positions 418 to 1461 of the family's 2925-position model. The record is from RNAcentral. Lineage: Bacteria; Pseudomonadati; Pseudomonadota; Gammaproteobacteria; Enterobacterales; Enterobacteriaceae.